UGGUGGAGCGAUUUGUCUGGUUAAUUCCGAUAACGAACGAGACUCUGGCCUAUUAAAUAGUUCGCCGAUUCCGAUCUGUCGGCGUUAACUUCUUAGAGGGACAAGUGGCUUUUAGCCACGCGAGAUUGAGCAAUGACA
RNAcentral lists this ribosomal RNA (138 nucleotides) under uncultured eukaryote. RNAcentral's name for it is "partial 18S ribosomal RNA". It matches the Rfam family "Eukaryotic small subunit ribosomal RNA", at positions 1299 to 1458 of the family's 1831-position model. The record is from RNAcentral.